GCAAGUCGAGGGGUAUAUGGGUGCUUGCACUUAUAGAGACCGGCGCACGGGUGAGUAACGCGUAUACAACUUGCCUUACACUGAGGGAUAGCUCGGAGAUAUUUGGAUUAAUAAAUCAUGGUAUCAUUUUAAGGCAUCUUAGAAUGAUUAAAGAUUUAUCGGUGUAAGAUGGGUAUGCGUCCUAUUAGCUAGAUGGUGAGGUAACGGCUCACCAAGGCGAUGAUAGGUAGGGGUCCUGAGAGGGAGAUC
This 249-nucleotide ribosomal RNA is filed under the name uncultured bacterium. Its description in RNAcentral is "partial 16S ribosomal RNA". It matches the Rfam family "Bacterial small subunit ribosomal RNA", at positions 57 to 305 of the family's 1533-position model. The record is from RNAcentral.